AACGAACGCUGGCGGCGUGGAUAAGACAUGCAAGUCGAGCGGGACAAUCAGGGUAGCAAUAUUCUGGUUGUUCAGCGGCGCAAGGGUGCGUAACACGUGGGUAAUUUGCCAUGAAGUCUGGAAUAACUUGCUGAAAGGCGAGCUAAUGCCGGAUGUGACUUCCGAGGGGCAUCUCUUGGAAUUCAAAGCUGGAACCGUAAGGUCUGGCGCUUCUUGAUAAGCCCGCGGUCUAUCAGCUAGUUGGUGAGGUAACGGCUCACCAAGGCUAAGACGGAUAGCUGGUCUGAGAGGACGACCUGCCACACUGGAACUGAGACACGGUCCAGACACCUACGGGUGGCAGCAGUCGAGAAUUUUUCACAAUGGGCGAAAGCCUGAUGGAGCGACGCCGCGUGGGGGAUGAAUGGCUUCGGCCCGUAAACCCCUGUCAUUUGCGAACAAACCUUACCGGUUAAUACCCGGUGAGCUGAUUGUAGCGGAAGAGGAAGGGACGGCUAA
RNAcentral lists this ribosomal RNA (498 nucleotides) under uncultured bacterium. RNAcentral's name for it is "bacterial SSU rRNA". It matches the Rfam family "Bacterial small subunit ribosomal RNA", at positions 29 to 500 of the family's 1533-position model. The record is from RNAcentral.